RNAcentral lists this unclassified non-coding RNA (326 nucleotides) under Hevea brasiliensis (rubber tree). The record is from RNAcentral. Lineage: Eukaryota; Viridiplantae; Streptophyta; Magnoliopsida; Malpighiales; Euphorbiaceae.
UGGGAGAGUGUGUUAUUUACAACAAGUCUGGUGAAAGUGGAAAGGAUGCUUUUACUGUGGUUGAUGCGAUAAGUCAGAAAGUUGGGCUCACAUCAUACUUUCUCAAGUUCGAUGAAAUGAUGAAAAGCUUCGUUUUCUCCUCUGCAAAGCAAGUAGAACCUCAUAAACCAAUGACAAGAUCUGCUGCAGCUAGCAUGGCAGAGAUUGAAGAUGUUGAUGAGCAGGAUUCCUCUGAUCAAAAUAAUGAGGAUCAUCCUAUUCUCCCGUCAAUAUUUGACAGCUCUUUUGUUAACUUUGUCAAGAGGGUGGAGACAGAUAUCAGAGAA